RNAcentral lists this ribosomal RNA (482 nucleotides) under uncultured bacterium. RNAcentral's name for it is "partial 16S ribosomal RNA". It matches the Rfam family "Bacterial small subunit ribosomal RNA", at positions 30 to 507 of the family's 1533-position model. The record is from RNAcentral.
AUUGAACGCUGGCGGCAUGCCUUACACAUGCAAGUCGAACGGUAACAGGUCUUCUGAUGCUGACGAGUGGCGAACGGGUGAGUAAUACAUCGGAACGUGCCCAGACGUGGGGGAUAACGAGUCGAAAGCUUUGCUAAUACCGCAUACGAGCUAAGGAGGAAAGCAGGGGACCGCAAGGCCUUGCGCGCUUGGAGCGGCCGAUGGCAGAUUAGGUAGUUGGUGGGAUAAAAGCUUACCAAGCCGACGAUCUGUAGCUGGUCUGAGAGGACGACCAGCCACACUGGAACUGAGACACGGCCCAGACUCCUACGGGAGGCAGCAGUGGGGAAUUUUGGACAAUGGGCGAAAGCCUGAUCCAGCAAUGCCGCGUGCAGGAUGAAGGCCUUCGGGUUGUAAACUGCUUUUGUACGGAACGAAAAGGAUCUGGCUAAUACCUGGGGCACAUGACGGUACCGUAAGAAUAAGCACCGGCUAACUACGUG